Molecule: small nuclear RNA, 163 nt
Gene: U1
Rfam family: U1 spliceosomal RNA
About the family: U1 is a small nuclear RNA (snRNA) component of the spliceosome (involved in pre-mRNA splicing). Its 5' end forms complementary base pairs with the 5' splice junction, thus defining the 5' donor site of an intron.
Source: Ensembl
AUACUUACCUGGCAGGGAUGACACCAUGAUCAUGAAGGUGGUUUGUCUUCGGCGAGGCUUUGCCAUUGCACUCCGGCAUUCUGACCCGAACGAAUUCCCCACAUGUGGGAAUCUCGACUGCACAAUUUAUGGUAGUGGGGGACUGCGUACGCGCUCUCCCCCU